This 1292-nucleotide ribosomal RNA is filed under the name Bacillus licheniformis. RNAcentral's name for it is "bacterial SSU rRNA". It matches the Rfam family "Bacterial small subunit ribosomal RNA", at positions 12 to 1286 of the family's 1533-position model. Lineage: Bacteria; Bacillati; Bacillota; Bacilli; Caryophanales; Bacillaceae. The record is from RNAcentral.
UUUGAUCAUGGCUCAGGACGAACGCUGGCGGCGUGCCUAAUACAUGCAAGUCGAGCGGACCGACGGGAGCUUGCUCCCUUAGGUCAGCGGCGGACGGGUGAGUAACACGUGGGUAACCUGCCUGUAAGACUGGGAUAACUCCGGGAAACCGGGGCUAAUACCGGAUGCUUGAUUGAACCGCAUGGUUCAAUCAUAAAAGGUGGCUUUUAGCUACCACUUACAGAUGGACCCGCGGCGCAUUAGCUAGUUGGUGAGGUAACGGCUCACCAAGGCGACGAUGCGUAGCCGACCUGAGAGGGUGAUCGGCCACACUGGGACUGAGACACGGCCCAGACUCCUACGGGAGGCAGCAGUAGGGAAUCUUCCGCAAUGGACGAAAGUCUGACGGAGCAACGCCGCGUGAGUGAUGAAGGUUUUCGGAUCGUAAAACUCUGUUGUUAGGGAAGAACAAGUACCGUUCGAAUAGGGCGGCACCUUGACGGUACCUAACCAGAAAGCCACGGCUAACUACGUGCCAGCAGCCGCGGUAAUACGUAGGUGGCAAGCGUUGUCCGGAAUUAUUGGGCGUAAAGCGCGCGCAGGCGGUUUCUUAAGUCUGAUGUGAAAGCCCCCGGCUCAACCGGGGAGGGUCAUUGGAAACUGGGGAACUUGAGUGCAGAAGAGGAGAGUGGAAUUCCACGUGUAGCGGUGAAAUGCGUAGAGAUGUGGAGGAACACCAGUGGCGAAGGCGACUCUCUGGUCUGUAACUGACGCUGAGGCGCGAAAGCGUGGGGAGCGAACAGGAUUAGAUACCCUGGUAGUCCACGCCGUAAACGAUGAGUGCUAAGUGUUAGAGGGUUUCCGCCCUUUAGUGCUGCAGCAAACGCAUUAAGCACUCCGCCUGGGGAGUACGGUCGCAAGACUGAAACUCAAAGGAAUUGACGGGGGCCCGCACAAGCGGUGGAGCAUGUGGUUUAAUUCGAAGCAACGCGAAGAACCUUACCAGGUCUUGACAUCCUCUGACAACCCUAGAGAUAGGGCUUCCCCUUCGGGGGCAGAGUGACAGGUGGUGCAUGGUUGUCGUCAGCUCGUGUCGUGAGAUGUUGGGUUAAGUCCCGCAACGAGCGCAACCCUUGAUCUUAGUUGCCAGCAUUCAGUUGGGCACUCUAAGGUGACUGCCGGUGACAAACCGGAGGAAGGUGGGGAUGACGUCAAAUCAUCAUGCCCCUUAUGACCUGGGCUACACACGUGCUACAAUGGGCAGAACAAAGGGCAGCGAAGCCGCGAGGCUAAGCCAAUCCCACAAAUCUGUU